This is an unclassified non-coding RNA of Pongo abelii (Sumatran orangutan), 148 nucleotides long. It matches the Rfam family "Metazoan signal recognition particle RNA". Rfam says of the family: The signal recognition particle (SRP) is a universally conserved ribonucleoprotein. It is involved in the co-translational targeting of proteins to membranes. The eukaryotic SRP consists of a 300-nucleotide 7S RNA and six proteins: SRPs 72, 68, 54, 19, 14, and 9. Lineage: Eukaryota; Metazoa; Chordata; Mammalia; Primates; Hominidae. The record is from Ensembl.
GCCAGGCGUGGUGGUGCACGCCUGUAGUCUCAGCUACUCAGGAGGCUGAGGCAGGAGAAUCACUUGAGUCCAGGAGGCAGAGGUUGCAGUGAGCCGAGAUUGCACCACUGCACUCCAGCCUGGGCAACAGAGUGAGACUCCGUCUCAA